GGCAGUAUGGCCGACUAGGCGGUAAACUGUAAAUUUACCCACGGGAUUUCCCUGCUGUCA
This 60-nucleotide transfer RNA is filed under the name Hypsiscopus plumbea (rice paddy snake). Its description in RNAcentral is "tRNA-Tyr". The record is from RNAcentral. Lineage: Eukaryota; Metazoa; Chordata; Lepidosauria; Squamata; Homalopsidae.